UUGUUUUUUUUUAAAUUGAAACAAAUACAGAGUUGUUGACCUCUUCCAGUAAACUAUAGGUGACGCCCCCUCACUUUAUUUAAUUACAAAGGUCCAUGCUGACACACUGUUUAAAAGACUGAGUCCUUCAUUGACAAAAUACAUUAUUUUCAACCUCUUACCUGAGCACUCUCUACUCUGACAAGUCUAACUGCAACCAUGAAAUAUUUGGCUCUGGCUUUGCUGCUAUGUGCUCUGCCAUCACUGUCAACUGCAGCCUGUGGCAUUAUGCCCCAUAAAACAGGCAUGACCCAUUGUCAGGACAGUGUUAUAAAACAUGGCAUCCUGUAGGAUCUUCAUGGAGAAACAGUGAUUGUAUUUCCUGUACUUGCGAC
Thunnus maccoyii (southern bluefin tuna) is the source of this 374-nucleotide long non-coding RNA. RefSeq lists it as uncharacterized. NCBI's taxonomy places the organism in Eukaryota, Metazoa, Chordata, Actinopteri, Scombriformes, Scombridae. The transcript has 3 exons. The record is from RefSeq and is a predicted model, not a curated record.